Molecule: long non-coding RNA, 4534 nt
Filed under: Equus caballus (horse)
Lineage: Eukaryota; Metazoa; Chordata; Mammalia; Perissodactyla; Equidae
Description: lncRNA (ENSECAG00000050574.1)
Source: RNAcentral
GUCAGGGUUUUCCAGAGAAACAGAAUCUAUAGGAUCUGUGUCUGUGUUUGUGUCUGUGUGAGAGAGAGAUUUAUUUUAUGGAAUUAUCUCGCCCGAUUGAAGGACUGGCAAUUGUGAAACCUGCAUGGUCGGCUGGCGGGCUGGAGACGUGGGAAGAACCUGGCGCCUUCGAUUCUGAAGGCCGUCUGGAGGCGGGUCCCUCUCGCUCAGGACACUCAGUGUUUUCCUUGAGUGCUCAGUGGAACAGUGCAGCCCACCCACAUCGUGGAGGGUGGUCUGCUUUGCUCAAAUCCCACCGAUUUAAAUGUUAUCCUUGUGUAAAAACAUACCUUCAGAGCAACAUCCCUACUGGUGUCCAAACGUCUGGGCCUGGGCCUGGCCGAGGUCACAGUUCACACCCCUACGGCAUCACUGUCCUUAAACAAACGGGGUCUGGAGGCACAGAGGCGCAGGCUGAGGGAGGAGGGGUCAGAGGCAGAGCCAGGACCCAGAUCACUGUCCUGCGCUGCCUCUCCACGGCUCGCUGAGGAUGACCACCACCGGGCCCUUCAGGAAGUUCAGGCUCCGUUAGGACUUGGCUACAGAGUGGGGACUGGGGGUCAAGGACUCGUCCCAGACAUGUGUGCUCCCCUUGAAAACCCUCACCCCCAGCACCUCCCACCUCCACCCGGAAAUGAGGUGCCCGACUCGCUCUGAUGGAGCGAGGUGGAGCCAAGAGGAGACCAUUUAUAAAGGGAUGUGUCUGCCUAGACAAGCCAGCCCUCUGGGCACCAAGGCACCGGGCUGCACCGAGGCUGUAAGCGGGGGACACCAGGCUGAGCUAACCAUGAAAGGGUCUUAGGAGACAGGGGGAUUCUGAGCGGUGAUAAAGCCCUGGCUUUGGAGGCAGACAGACGAGGGUGUGAGACCCUCCCCACCCCUUGGUGUCCGUGUGACUGUACGCAAGGCGGUUACCCCAUCUGAGCCUUGAGCUCCUCAAUGCAACAUGGGCAAACGGUAGGAGUGUGGGAGACGAUGAGAGGACAGCACACAGCCCGGGACUGGAGCACAGACAGCACACUCAGCAAACGGGAGUCAUCGUCACCCGUGACUCUGGACCAAUGCUGCCAGUCAAGAUGCUACAGCCGUAACGCGGAGCGUCAAAACUCUGGUACCUUCUGCACCUUCACCCUCAAUGCUGAAAAGGCUCUCGAUCAGGAAAAGGCCUAGGGAAGCACCGUGCCCGCAGGAUGACUUUGUGGGGUGACCUAGGAGGUUGCCGUGUCUGACCCCCCCACUUGUCGCUCCCCGCCUGUGUCUCUGUUUGUCUCAUAGGGCAUCACAGACUGACGCUGACAACAAAGCGUGUGGGGGACAGACUCCUCCCUUGACAUCUUCCAGCCACUUCUCUGUUUUCACGGGGGCAACGCAUCUGGCUUUCUUUUUCCACAUUCUGUAAAGAGCACGCAGCAGACUAAAGCCUGACUCCAGCCAGACGGCUCCUCCUCAGAGGAGUCCCGAGGCCCCGCUGUGCUGACGUCCACAGUCCCUGUUCCUAGCACCCUCUCCCCAUCGCCCCACGAGGCUCAGAGAGGCAGGGAGCUGCCGGCGAGUGUGAUGAGGCCGCACGGCCCGAGAACCAGACAGACCGGCUGCGCCACGGCUGCUUUCACUAGAGCUGUGUGACCUUGAGCAAACUCCCUGACCUCUCUGGAGUUCAGGUGCCCACCCGGGAGGUGACACUAGUUUUCUCUCGGAGCAGCUGGGCUGACUGGUGGCGGACACACAGUGGGGCCAUGGCCGCCCCACUACCUCUUCCCUUUCGUCGCUGGUAUCGCAUCCCUGGCCAUUCUGUGUGAGCCAAGCCAGGCCCUUUGCCAUCCACACUGGCCAGCUGCCGGAGGCCCUCGAAACUCCCACUAGCCAGGGUCCUCACAGCCCUGCUGGACUUUGAGGAGGGUCACCCCCUGCGUCCACACCACCCGGUCAGACUUCACAGUGAAGCAGUUGUGAUGGGGGCGGUAAUCAGAGUCUUCACAGGUCUUUACUGCCUGCUCACUGUUGCGGGCAAUAAGAUCGGUUUGGUUUGGUUUUAUUUGUGGUCCAUGCAGCGCACUGAACCACAGGACGUUUUCACAGACCCUUGUUGGACUAAACUGAACUGAAUUCCAGUCCUCCUCAGGCCGUGUGAUCCAGUGAGACGGUCACUCGAGCUGGCGAGUGGACGAGAGGGACAGCAGCUACAUCACGGAGAUGUGAGUCUGCUGGGCUCUGUGGGUCUGCCCGGAGCAGGUGAAGCAGGUGGGACAGGGCACAGGUGGGCAAAGCGGGGUAGCAAGGAGCACACCUGCACCAAGGGUGCGGCCUCUGGCCUUUGCUGACCACACCCAUGGGGCACCAGUCCCCGCACAUCAGCUCUGCCUCACCUGUGCGGCACCGUGGGACCUGCCCGUCUCCAGCGCUGUGUUCACACUCGGUGCUGAGAGAGGAAACAGUCAGAAGCCAGACGUGCAUUUCCAUUGGGCUCACCUCUCCUUGGUUCUUUCUGACGCCCAAGUGCUACGAUGACACCACUUUUGAGGAAAGCCACCAUUUCUAACCAAUGGCAGCCCAGAACAACAACCGAGUCCUGCAAGACAAAACCGAACAGGAGCGAGCGUGAGGUCCCAUGAGAGGUCCAGGGAAGAGCGACGAGGUGACAGCACGUAGAUGGCCUGGCUGUUUGUCCCCAGGGAGCUCAGCUGUUGGAAGUGGUGGGGCUGCCAACCCAGAAAAAGAGGGGGUUCCUCUGGCCAUCUGUUUGUUCAGCUGAGUCAGGAGGAACGUCAGCAAACUGGAGUCCCAAGGAGACGAGGAAUCAGGCCGGGGAAAGGACCCGAGGCUGUGAGCAUGGGAAAGGGCUGAAGGAUUUGUGACUCAGCUCAGACUGAGACAACACGAGACAACGACAGGAGGUCUAGCAGAUAAGACCCCCAGGCACGCUGAGGGGAGACCUCUAGGGGGCGUGGGGCUCAAGGCCUACACUGGAGUGGGGAAGGGACGACCUGUGCCCAGACUGCCAUCUCCUGGCCUGCGCCUUCCUGACACCUCCCUGUCCAUCAGUCAUUCAACAACCACUGCCCCUGCCCCAGGCCCCUCGCGCCUGCUGCUUCCAUCUGUCCAUCUGCUCCGACGCCAGCAGAACAGUGUUCAGUGUACAGUCAACUCCAGACCAAACCGCUGCCACUGUUUUCCAAAGGCUGGUGGGGUCGGCGGCCCCGCAGCUGCCCCCUCGACCCCUGACUCCCGGUGAUCAUGCCGCUGAGUAACGCCCUCUCCUGGACUGCGGGCUGGACCUAGCGACGGGCUUCCAACUGGCAGGAUGUGGCACAGCGCCGGGACGUCACCUGGCCAUGGGUCACUCAGACGGCGGCGUCCUCUCACGCUUUUCUCUCCUGCUCACUCCUGAGGGAAGGCCGCCGCCAGCUGCCCCCUUCCCUGUGGACAGGCCCAGGUGACAAGCAAGGGAGGGAGGCCUCGGGCCAGCGGUCAGCAGGGACCUGAGGCUUCAAUCCGACCACAUCCCACCACCAUGUAAGCGCGCUCGGAAGUGGACCCUUGCCAGCGACUCCCAGCCUGAAGCGCCUCCCAGGUGGGACCAGUCUCAUCCGUCCUUCCACCCCCACACGCCCAGGACGGGGACCUGGAUUUGAAUUUCGGAUAGAUCUGUGACCUUUGGAUGCUUAUUGGUUCGCCAAUGAAGGACGGGAGGCUUCCUCAGACGCGGUCCUGCGCCAGCACCUCAGACAAGGCCAUCCAUCUGAAAGGUGCCUGCGAGCCCCUGUUGCUCCUCCCGGCCUGUCAUCGAGGGUUCGGGCGGUCCUGCCUCCGCUCACCUCCAGCCUGUCUCGGCAACAUGGACCUCAGUCAGCAUGAGCCAGCAAGCUUUGAAGGCCGCCGUCUUUUUCCCUCUCUCCUGAGGCGUCUUCAUUUCCACUGCCGGGAGCACCGUCCUGGCCCUGACGGGUCACUCGUGGGGCUGUGUCCUCGGGCUCCACCCGUGACCUUUGCCAGAAGCCUCGCGGCACGGAUGUGUCAUGUGUUUCCUUUCACAGACCCCCGAGAGCAGAGUGGAGGUUUUGAAUAAAGAAAAAGGCAACCAUUUUACAAUCUCGUUUCCUUUGCUAGUCGCUACCUCCAGAUGCUGACUCGUUCGGCCAGAAGACUCCGUAGGUUUUUAUGAGACAGGAACUGUGAGCACACUGAGAGACGAAGCAGGGCAGACUGAGUUUUACCAGCAACACCGGGCUUUGCUGUCGCUUAAUCCUUGACUAGUCUGUUGACACAUGAAGCUCUUAAAAUCCUCGCUCUAUUUCUAAACCCCUGAUUUGUGCCUUUCAGUUGGAGCUUAUUCAGCUAAGACUGCACUGUGUGCUCAGCUGACAGACAGCAAACAUGCUUUCGUGGCUGCGACCAUAUGUUUGCAAAGACCUCAAUUACAAAAUUAACAGAGCAGAUUUCAUUGUCUUUGCUGAGCCCCAGAGAUGACAAUAAAAACCUCUAAUGAAGGGAGACA